Molecule: ribosomal RNA, 253 nt
Filed under: uncultured bacterium
Lineage: Bacteria
Description: partial 16S ribosomal RNA
Rfam family: Bacterial small subunit ribosomal RNA
Source: RNAcentral
GACAGAGGUCCCGAGCGUUGUUCGGAUUCACUGGGCGUAAAGGGGGCGUAGGUGGCGAGGUAAGUGGGAGGUGAAAGCUCGGAGCUCAACUCCGAAAUGGCAUUGGAAACUACCUUGCUCGAGGGUUGGAGGGGGGACUGGAAUGCUUGGUGUAGCAGUGAAAUGCGUAGAUAUCAAGCGGAACACCAGUGGCGAAGGCGAGUCCCUGGACAACUCCUGACACUGAGGCACGAAAGCUAGGGGAGCAAACAGG